AGGGGUAGAGUUCUUCGGAACUUGAGACCGGCGCACGGGUGCGUAACGCGUAUGCAAUCUACCUUAUACAGGGGAAUAGCCCAGAGAAAUUUGGAUUAAUGCCCCAUAGUGUUAUAGAAUCGCAUGGUUUUAUAACUAAAGUUCCAACGGUAUAAGAUGAGCAUGCGUCCCAUUAGUUAGUUGGUAAGGUAACGGCUUACCAAGACAAUGAUGGGUAGGGGUCCUGAGAGGGAGAUCCCCCACACUGGUACUGAGACACGGACCAGACUCCUACGGGAGGCAGCAGUGAGGAAUAUUGGUCAAUGGGCGCAAGCCUGAACCAGCCAUGCCGCGUGCAGGAAGACGGUCCUAUGGAUUGUAAACUGCUUUUAUACAGGAAGAAACCUCCCUACGUGUAGGGACUUGACGGUACUGUAGGAAUAAGGAUCGGCUAACUCCGUGCCAGCAGCCGCGGUAAUACGGAGGAUCCAAGCGUUAUCCGGAAUCAUUGGGUUUAAAGGGUCCGUAGGCGGCCUUAUAAGUCAGUGGUGAAAUCUCCUAGCUCAACUAGGAAACUGCCAUUGAUACUGUAGGGCUUGAAUUUUUGUGAAGUAACUAGAAUAUGUAGUGUAGCGGUGAAAUGCUUAGAUAUUACAUGGAAUACCAAUUGCGAAGGCAGGUUACUAACAAACGAUUGACGCUGAUGGACGAAAGCGUGGGGAGCGAACAGGAUUAGAUACCCUGGUAGUCCACGCCGUAAACGAUGGAUACUAGCUGUUCGGAGCAAUCUGAGUGGCUAAGCGAAAGUGAUAAGUAUC
This 797-nucleotide ribosomal RNA is filed under the name uncultured Bacteroidota bacterium. RNAcentral's name for it is "bacterial SSU rRNA". It matches the Rfam family "Bacterial small subunit ribosomal RNA", at positions 65 to 868 of the family's 1533-position model. Lineage: Bacteria; Pseudomonadati; Bacteroidota. The record is from RNAcentral.